RNAcentral lists this ribosomal RNA (497 nucleotides) under uncultured bacterium. RNAcentral's name for it is "partial 16S ribosomal RNA". It matches the Rfam family "Bacterial small subunit ribosomal RNA", at positions 28 to 507 of the family's 1533-position model. The record is from RNAcentral.
GAUGAACGCUGGCGGCGUGCCUAAUACAUGCAAGUCGAGCGAACGGACGAGAAGCUUGCUUCUCUGAUGUUAGCGGCGGACGGGUGAGUAACACGUGGAUAACCUACCUAUAAGACUGGGAUAACUUCGGGAAACCGGAGCUAAUACCGGAUGAUAUUUUGAACCGCAUGGUUCAAAAGUGAAAGACGGUCUUGCUGUCACUUAUAGAUGGAUCCGCGCUGCAUUAGCUAGUUGGUAAGGUAACGGCUUACCAAGGCAACGAUGCAUAGCCGACCUGAGAGGGUGAUCGGUCACACUGGAACUGAGACACGGUCCAGACUCCUACGGGAGGCAGCAGUAGGGAAUCUUCCGCAAUGGGCGAAAGCCUGACGGAGCAACGCCGCGUGAGUGAUGAAGGUCUUCGGAUCGUAAAACUCUGUUAUUAGGGAAGAACAUAUGUGUAAGUAACUGUGCACAUCUUGACGGUACCUAAUCAGAAAGCCACGGCUAACUACGUG